UACGUAGGGGGCAAGCGUUGUCCGGAUUUAUUGGGCGUAAAAGGCUUGUAGGUGGCCACGCCAAGUCGGAUGUGAAAUCUCCCGGCUCAACUGGGAGGGGUCAUUCGAUACUGGUGGGCUCGAGGCCGGUAGGGGGAAGCGGAAUUCCUGGUGUAGCGGUGAAAUGCGCAGAUAUCAGGAGGAACACCGGUGGCGAAGGCGGUUCUCUGGGCCUUACCUGACGCUGAGGAGCGAAAGCGUGGGGAGCGAACAGG
Molecule: ribosomal RNA, 254 nt
Filed under: uncultured bacterium
Lineage: Bacteria
Description: partial 16S ribosomal RNA
Rfam family: Bacterial small subunit ribosomal RNA
Source: RNAcentral